RNAcentral lists this ribosomal RNA (899 nucleotides) under uncultured bacterium. RNAcentral's name for it is "bacterial SSU rRNA". It matches the Rfam family "Bacterial small subunit ribosomal RNA", at positions 496 to 1408 of the family's 1533-position model. The record is from RNAcentral.
GAAUUCGAUUGUGCCAGCAGCCGCGGUAAUACAUAGGGGGCAAGCGUUAUCCGGAAUUAUUGGGCGUAAAGGGUGCGUAGGCGGUUUGUUAAGUCUAAGGUGUAAGUUCAAGGCUCAACCUUGUGAUGCUUUAGAAACUGGCGGACUAGAGAUAGAUAGAGGCAAGUGGAAUUCCAUGUGUAGCGGUAAAAUGCGUAAAUAUAUGGAGGAACACCAGUGGCGAAGGCGGCUUGCUGGGUCUAUACUGACGCUGAGGCACGAAAGCGUGGGGAGCAAACAGGAUUAGAUACCCUGGUAGUCCACGCCGUAAACGAUGAGUACUAAGUGUUGGGGGAACCCAGUGCUGUAGUUAACAUAUUAAGUACUCCGCCUGAGUAGUACGUACGCAAGUAUGAAACUCAAAGGAAUUGACGGGACCCCGCACAAGCGGUGGAUGAUGUUGUUUAAUUCGAAGAUACGCGAAAAACCUUACCAGGUCUUGACAUACUCUGCAAAGCUAUAGAGAUAUAGUGGAGGUUAACAGAUGUACAGGCGGUGCAUGGUUGUCGUCAGCUCGUGUCGUGAGAUGUUGGGUUAAGUCCCGCAACGAGCGCAACCCUUAUUGCUAGUUACCAUCAUUCAGUUGGGGACUCUAGCGAGACUGCCAGUGAUAAACUGGAGGAAGGUGGGGAUGACGUCAAAUCAUCAUGCCCCUUAUGACCUGGGCUACAAACGUCAUACAAUGGCUGAAACAAAGAGAAGCGAAGCAGUGAUGUGGAGCAAACUCAUAAAAGCAGUCUCAGUUCAGAUUGUAGUCUGCAACUCGACUACAUGAAGUCGGAAUCGCUAGUAAUCGCAGAUCAGCAUGCUGCGGUGAAUACGUUCUCGGGGUUUGCACACACCGCCCGUCAAUCACUAGU